RNAcentral lists this ribosomal RNA (301 nucleotides) under uncultured bacterium. RNAcentral describes it as "partial 16S ribosomal RNA". It matches the Rfam family "Bacterial small subunit ribosomal RNA", at positions 509 to 809 of the family's 1533-position model. The record is from RNAcentral.
CAGUCGCCGCGGGAAUACAGAGGGUGCAAGCGUUAAUCGGAAUUACUGGGCGUAAAGCGCGCGUAGGUGGUUUGUUAAGUUGGAUGUGAAAUCCCCUGGCUCAACCUGGGAACUGCAUCCAAAACUGGCAAGCUAGAGUAUGGUAGAGGGUGGUGGAAUUUCCUGUGUAGCGGUGAAAUGCGUAGAUAUAGGAAGGAACACCAGUGGCGAAGGCGACCACCUGGACUGAUACUGACACUGAGGUGCGAAAGCGUGGGGAGCAAACAGGAUUAGAUACCCCAGUAGUCCCUGUCUCUUAUAA